Non-coding RNA from Cucurbita pepo subsp. pepo (vegetable marrow), 643 nucleotides. NCBI's taxonomy places the organism in Eukaryota, Viridiplantae, Streptophyta, Magnoliopsida, Cucurbitales, Cucurbitaceae. The record is from RefSeq and is a predicted model, not a curated record.
UUUUAAAACAGCGAAACGUAACGGGACAAAGCGAACAAUAUCGGCUAGCGGUGGGCUUAGGCUAUUACACUAAUAUUUUGAAUCAUGAACGUGGAUUACUACGGUAGUUUUUCCUUCCUGAACAGCUUCCCAUGCUUUUGUGUUUAAUAACCUUGUCAGCCAUCAUCUUUUCCAUUUUUAUGUAGAAUGGAGACAUUGAAGAGGAUCCUUCCUGUUUCUGGUCCCGAGGGAUUGAGUGAGAUGAGGAAAAUUGCUGUAAGGUUCGAGGAAAAGAUUUAUACUGCCGCUACUAGUGAGUCAGAGUACCGAAGGAAAAUAUAUGUGAAGAUGCUUCUUAUGGAACCCAACUCUGAGACGACCACUGCAUUACCAUCAAUGUCUGGGCCUAUGGCUUCCGAUCAACCUUAGAAACAGGCUGCAAUUACUCUUCCACAACAUCCAAAAUAACACUGCUUCCUCUAAUGUAUUUACCAACUCUUAGAGGCCAAUAUACUUCAUUGGCUAAUAAGGUGAAUGAGUCUACAGUUUGAACGUGUUAGUGUUGGAAUGAGAUAUUGUAUGAUAAUUGAAACUGUUCUGAAUCUUGAAUGUUCAUGAGAUUGUUUUGAAUGAAAUAUUGUAUGACAAUUGAAACUGUUCUUAA